UGGGGAAUAUUGCACAAUGGGCGCAAGCCUGAUGCAGCCAUGCCGCGUGUAUGAAGAAGGCCUUCGGGUUGUAAAGUACUUUCAGCGAGGAGGAAGGCGUUGUGGUUAAUAACCGCAACGAUUGACGUUACUCGCAGAAGAAGCACCGGCUAACUCCGUGCCAGCAGCCGCGGUAAUACGGAGGGUGCAAGCGUUAAUCGGAAUUACUGGGCGUAAAGCGCACGCAGGCGGUCUGUCAAGUCGGAUGUGAAAUCCCCGGGCUCAACCUGGGAACUGCAUCCGAAACUGGCAGGCUAGAGUCUUGUAGAGGGGGGUAGAAUUCCAGGUGUAGCGGUGAAAUGCGUAGAGAUCUGGAGGAAUACCGGUGGCGAAGGCGGCCCCCUGGACAAAGACUGACGCUCAGGUGCGAAAGCGUGGGGGGCAAACA
This 427-nucleotide ribosomal RNA is filed under the name uncultured bacterium. Its description in RNAcentral is "partial 16S ribosomal RNA". It matches the Rfam family "Bacterial small subunit ribosomal RNA", at positions 355 to 774 of the family's 1533-position model. The record is from RNAcentral.